This 305-nucleotide ribosomal RNA is filed under the name uncultured bacterium. Its description in RNAcentral is "bacterial SSU rRNA". It matches the Rfam family "Bacterial small subunit ribosomal RNA", at positions 335 to 656 of the family's 1533-position model. The record is from RNAcentral.
GCACCUACGGGGGGCAGCAGUCGGGAAUAUUGCGCAAUGGAGGAAACUCUGACGCAGUGACGCCGCGUAUAGGAAGAAGGUUUUCGGAUUGUAAACUAUUGUCGAUAGGGAAGAAAAAAGACUGUACCUAUCAAGAAAGCUCCGGCUAACUACGUGCCAGCAGCCGCGGUAAUACGUAUGGAGCAAGCGUUAUCCGGAUUUACUGGGCGUAAAGGGAGAGUAGGUGGCAGAGCAAGUCCGAAGUGAAAACCCAAAGCUCAACUAUGGGAAUGCUUUAGAAACUGCUCAGCUAGAGUGCAGGAGAG